CCAGGAGACAGACGGGGCCGGCCGCAGUGUGCGGGCGACGGGCAGCUGAGCACUCCGGCUGAGCGCCUCAUCUCGCCUCACUGGGCUGGGGCUCCCGCGGCUCUGGAGGUUCCCAAGGAGCCCCAGCUGGGUGGGAGGCUUCUUCUCAGCGUGUCUGAGGGGGUCGCUGAGAUCAACCUCAAUGCAUACCCUCAGGGAAAAAAACAACAACCAAAAAACCCCAACACCACAGAACACAAAAAACCCACUAGGGUGUUGCUGGAGAAGGAGGGUUUCCCCGUGCUUAAGGACUAAACUGGCAGGGACAGCGCUUGGCACUGGCGGGUCCUGCGGAGCUUUCCCGAGGCGCCUUAUAUGGCGGGGGAGGGGGACGCCCCGGGCACGGCUGCGAGCGCCGAUCCCAAACCCAGGGGAGCGUGUGCGUGGGGGGUCGCUUUGUGUUACACACGCUUGUGUCAUUCUAGGGAACAGAGGGAGAGGCCGCCGGAGGAGACGGGGGAUCUCCCAGGAUAGACAGUCCCGCCAGAAGGAAGAGCGAUAGCAUCCUUUCCGGCCACAACAGGUAAAUCGUAUUUGGCCACUACAGGUUGAAGUUGUGUUGUUGUUGUUGGUUUGAGUUUUUGUUUGGAUUUAUGGUUUGGUUUGGGGUGGGUUUUUUUGUGUCUUUGUGGGAGGUUUUAGUACAAUUUUUUUUUCAUUCUCCCUCUUUUUCCCUCCUCUCGGCGUUUUCUGAAUGGCAUGGACCUGACCAAGGGGAGGCGGCUAUUGGCAGCUCGGGGAGCGCCGCCGCCCUGUCCCCAAGCCAGCUGUCUGUCCCACAACGGGGGGACGGAGAUAACCCGGAGACGCGGAGUGCGCGUCCCGCCCGCUGCCCCUCCCUCGUCCCUCGCGCAGCUCUGCCGCAGCCCCGCGGAACUCUGCGGGCCCUUCGCUGCCGGCCACCGCGGGAAAUGCCACGGGAGAAGACACUUCCCCUCUGAAGAUCUGUGCGCGACUUCCAUGAAGAAAUGGAAGGGAGUAAAGCCGAGGGUGACACAGCUGUAAAGUGACUCGGUUUUCACCCUGGGGAGACAGGGAACUCUCCUGAAACAGGGGAAGAAAAAACAAGACACCGCUCCUGCCCCCCUCCCGCGAUCCCCCCGCCUCUUCGGAGCCUGAGCAACGACAAACUGAUUAAUCUUCCCAGGUCGCCCUCGCAAUCCCCGAGGGCCGCCAUCCGCUUAGCCGCCAUCCGCGGUCCGCGAACGUGCAAAUCCCCCGACUGCGGGGGCUCCGCUGCAGCCCAGGGAGGAGGAGGAAGGGCAGGUCGCCGGCGGCACUAUUUAGAACCACCGCCGCAACACUACUCCCAUUUGAGGCUGCAGGAACAGAGCCAAGAGGGAGAUCACCGGGCGCUUGGUUUUCUUUGGGUGUUUUCAGAUCUGUACAAACACUGGGCCUGCCGGUUUUUAUAAACAACUUUUGGGACGCAGUCAAUCAAUCAUACUGGCAAGCAAACAGACCAGGAGCCUAGGAUAUAUACAAGGCAUAAACACAUACAUAUAAACUUUGUCUUCUUUGGAGUAGUUAGUUUUUUUUUUUCUAUAAGCCUUUCUAAGAGAAACCCUUUCUAUAAAGAUUCUGACAAAGUCAGGAAAUCACAGUGAAAAAGUAGGAGGUAUUGUUAGGCAGUUAUGUUACAUUGUAUGCUUUAAUACCAGCAAGGAAAAUAUUGGAAAAGAGAAAGAAAAAAGCAUCUAACCAACUUGAAAACUUAAAAAAAAUAUUAUGCUUACAGUCAGAGAGACAAUUUCAAGAGUACGUGGCCAAAAAACAUGAAACGUGGUAAUUUUAAAAUACAAUGCAAUAGAUACAUCUGGAAAAGACAUGAGUUUACCAGAUUUGCUAGUCAGCAAAGUAUUCUUUAUGUUGCAGUCAUUUCUAGCCUUACUUUUUAAUUUGAAACAUAUUUGUAUCCAGGGAUAGGUUCUUGGGAAUGCACUGUGUUGUUUUGGUUUGGUUUUUUAAAUGAUCUUUUGAUAAUAAGAGCCCUGCCCAGCAUGGAGUUUGUGCCCUCUCUUUCUGAGUCUUUCGCUUGCAAAAGGAUACGAGCGAACGAGGAGUCCAUAGCACAAAGAAUGCAAUAGAUCUGAACAUCCCAGUAAUGCAGAAAGAACAGUUAGGGUAGGAAAAGCUGAUCAAGUGUCAGGACUUAGAAGAUCUUAUUCUGUGCUGGUGUAAAUUAGGAGACUAACAGAUAUAGAAGACUAGUUGGUGCUGCAGAAACAGUGUGUUGUUCUUAAUCUCCCCUGCCAUGAUCUGAAACUGUGGCCCUUUCUGGAUAGUGAGAUUGAGGAAAGCCUAGGGAAUGAUGCUCAGAGAGGAGAAGCUGUGCUCUGGCAGAGAGCAUCAAGAGAAGCUUUUCCCAACUGGUGAAACCUUCCAAACAAGCUUUUAUAAUUGAGGACCAGUGUUGGAUUUGCUUAGGAAAGACUUUGUGACUGCAUCGCUUCUAUGGAACCAUCAAAAAGAAUAAUUUUCUCUUUUUGAACUUAUUGCAUUUGUUGUGCAAGUUUUCCUACCAAGAAUAAACUUGGUAUUUGGUAAUUUCACUCCAUGUUUGUCAUCUGUUAAAACAAAUCCUAUAAGGAGCCUAAGCCAAAUACUACUCAUGUCAGGAAAGUGGGUUUUGGUGCUGUCCUUCCAAGCUGACUGGGUCUUAGAGACAUAAAGAGUAGGGAAGUUGUUUCAUUGGCUUCUCAGAAAGAUGUGUAUGGUCAGCAGAAUAGGGACUGGGCUUACAUCUAAGAUCCCCUUUUUAACGACCUGUGUUUAAAACGGAUUGGAUUACUUGCUUGCUUAAAGGCAGUUCCAUUUUCAUAUAACAAUUUAUACUUAUCAUCAUGUAAGUGAAAGCUUUAGCAAUCAAAGCUUUAUUCUUGCGGACCCGAGGUAUUAUUUUCCACAGAAAUGUAUUAUGGAGUCCUUUCACAGAAACUUGUCUUGAUUUGUGAUGUAUAAGACUGACACAGUGAGUGAUAAAUGUAUUAAAUGACAAUUUCCAGUUAAAAUAGUACAUGAAAUACAUAGUCAUUAAAAUAGUAUCUGAAGACUCUGCAAAUACCUAAUAAUUUUGAUGUAAGUGAUUUUAAUGUUAUGGAAAAACUGAAAGCUCACGUACAUUUUUAUCCUCGAAGAUUCAGUCUUUCCCCCUCUUCCCCCAAGAGAAAUUAUUAUUAAGACUGAUAUAAGCAAGCUUUUCUGGAAAGAAAGAAAAUGAAAAAGGAGGAAAGGGGAGAGAAUUAUACAAUACACAUACCUAACAGUAUAAACAACUCCACCCCUCAUCCUCCAACCUGGCUUUCUUCAGCCUUUUGAGCAUUUUUUCUAAAAUUUGUGAUAUGGCAAGUGACAAAUGUCUUUCCGGAAGAUCUGACAAUGCUACUGACUCACCAAAGACUGUUUGCGAGAAGUGCUGGCCAGAGCAGACAGGUUACUAUUCAUCAGCCUCUUAAAACACAAAUUCUUCUUUGCUGCAAUAUGGGUACAUCUAUACACUGAAAACUGGCUAUGAAGGGAGUGAAACCAAAUGGACACUUCAAUCAUUGCUUGAGAAGAUUAGAUUUUACUAAAACUGAGAUGCCUUUUCUUUUAGAUCAAUAUUCUGCCAUACCUAUACAGGUGGGACUCUGCUUUUUGUUUUACAGAUCUUCUAUGCAUCACGGGCAUUGAAUUUUACAAUUUCUCUUUUUUCUGAGGUUAAAUGCUUUCUGGCACUACUUGUAUUAAGUAUGACUUACACUACUUGUAGUAAGCAUAAACACUCCAAAGAGUCAACCUGCUUUUUCUUCUCUUCUUUAUUGAGAAUAGAUUAUCCCAAAAGAUUUGAGAAUACUGCUAUGUUUCAAUUGAUAACACAGUGACGUUUAUCAGCUUAAACAGUGUGUUGAGACAAUGGAUCUGUGAGAAGGUGAGGCAUUAAAGAUAAUUCUAAGCUUUUGCUUCUUCCAAAUCUCAAUAACAUCCUGACUCUACUCCUUUGAGUUACUGAUUUGCUUUUGAAAGCAGUGGGACAACAAUUUUACUAGGGUGUAACUUGUUAGCUGUCUUGUAAGGAUAAUGCAGAUAAGCUUCUCCAAGUACUAUCUCAUAUUCUGUGUAAAAUUCUUCUUAGUUCAAGUAUGUAGCGAACAACUUCUAAAAUAGACUAAAGAUCAUCAAUCAACAUUCAUUAAAUUAAUUUGAGGAUGAUUUUGGAAUGGAUUGACAUAAAACUAUGAUUGGCAACAUGGGUUUCCUUUUCUGUUCCUUUUGUAUAAUAGAACAACUGUCUGUUCUUAGAAAAUAUUGAUACUGAGAAUACAUUUUAACUGCUAAUUUCUCUUUUUUCCGUUAUUUAACCUCUGUUAAGAAAUUAGAGAGAACAUUUUAUAAUUUAAAAAUAACAAAACUACAUGCAGUCUAUUUACUAAUUUGGUGGAAGAGGAGUAGACUGCAAUGGAAGACUGCUCAGCCUCCCUGUGGACAGCUGUGGAGAGGUGAAGAAGUGUUGGGCAGGGCAGGAAGGCUGUUAUGUUACUGCAGGAAAGAGGGAGGAUGAGGUCUGAACAAGUCUGGGACCAGGUAUCCUCUUACAAAAACCACUAAUCUCACCUCUUUAAAACGUCUGUCUUCAUCUGCAUUAAAACCAACAACAUUUUAGUUUUAAUGAAAAAUCUUAUCAAAGAACAUUUCUUCCCUUGGCUCUUUCCGUUUUACUAACUUGAAUCUUUAGACUCAGAUCAUAAAUCUUGAUUUAUGUUCGACAAUUUAUGAUUUUAAAUGAAAUCUAUUUUAUAUAGGAAAUCAGAACAUCAGUCUAUGUACCAUUUAAAAAUCCAAAUUAGGCUUGUAAGUGCUGUGAUUUUCAGUAUACCUCAUGCAGCACUAUGUACACUGUGAACACUUAAUAGCAAGAAAGGGAAAUCAUAUACUAAUGUAUUUACUUUUAAAAAGUUGAAAAAGAAUUAAACAAAAGCUGAUUACUAAUCAUGUGACUUCCAUAUUUUAUUACAUAUCUAAACCUUAUAUAUAGGGAAAAAAGAUUCAGGCAUUUUUAUUAUAUUUUUGCAGUGAUAAAUGAACGUUGAGUAUUUAUUCUAAAUUUCUCUGCUAUGCCAAGGGAAAAACCAAACCAAACCAAAAAAAGUCCAGCUUUUGCUAGUACAAAAUUAGAAAUGGCACUGUCAGACUUGACAGCAUGGAGCAGUAGCAAAUACAUUUAUUGAUAUAAAUUCCUAAGUGGAAUAUAGAAACAAGAAUUACACUUAAUGUAAAAAAAUACAUCAUCUUGAUUUUGACUAAGAAGCACACUGAGAGAUGCACUUCUCCAGCACUGCUAAUGCAGUUCUGUGAUUUUCUUGCUUAUUUUUUUACGCAGGUGAUUCAUGCUGCCUGAAGGCAAGUAAACUUCAGAAGUUCCCCAGUUAUAAAAAUAUAUUUCAAUUCAAUUGUGUUGCAUGUAAUGAAGACAAUUAGUCUGAAUUCUGGAUAGGAAGACAGGGAAACUGCAGUUGUGAAAAUAGUUUUUUUAACACACAAGAAAUAGCUAAGAUAAAAGUCAUGCAAAGAAUAAGUGUGCCAUUGUGGCUUAUGAGGAAUAUGUUCUGCCUAGUGUAGUAGAGCAGUACUAAGUCUUUUUCACCAUCUACAUCACUAUGAAACCUCACAGGAUUUUUGGCCCGCUGAGUUAAUUGAUAGAACUGGUGUAUAAAGGGGUCCACAGGAGUGAAUGCAAGGUCAGUUUGUUGAUACAGCGUUAUGUGACUGCAGAAGGACUUUUGCAGCACAGGCAGGAAUGUGUUUCCUUGGAAGGGGAAGGCUGCUUUUGAAAUUAAAAUAGUCUUUUCAGUUUUUGUGUAUUUCAUGUGUUAAGGAGAACAUAAUGCUCAAGCUGUAGACCAACAGAACAAAUUUCCACAAGGAAAGCAAAAAAGGCAAAUUGUCAAUAAUUUUCAAUAUCUACCUUACAUUUCAAAAUAAUUACUCAUUUUCUUAUGUUAUGGUCCUGUAUGAAAAGUACUGUGAACUUUUCAGAUUCUGGCACACAUGGGAACACAGAUGCAUUUGCCUUGAGUCCAACAGAGCAUUCCUAGCAACCUAUUGGCGUGUAGUGCUCAAAGGAUGAGAUCCUCCUAAUGAAAUGUAGAUGGUCUUUCUCCAUAAAAACUUAGCUAAACAAGUUUUGAUAUAUAUUUUUCACUGUUAAAGAAUUUCUCCUCUGCAUGGAUUAUAGUAUUUUCCAUAAGGUUAAUAAUAAAGGCUGUGUUUGCUCUGAAAACUUCAGUUUACACUGAUAUUCACUGUCAGAAACAGACUAUUGAAGUAAUGAAUGAGGUUCACUUCCUCAGAAUGUGUAAAUGUCCCAACUUACAGUUAAACUUUCAACAGCUGAAAGACAAUACCAUUGACAUGUAUCUGGCACUAGUUACUCAGGUUUAUUUUUUCCUGGAAAGCAGUUUAGGGCGACAGAGUGGCGUCCGGGUUUCCCAGGUUGUUGUGCUGACAAACUGCAGUGGUGGUAAAGGCAGGGAGUCUGACAAAAUCUCAUUAAUCAUUUUAAAUUAAAUCCAACAUUCCUCUCCAACACUGCCAAGAAGAAAGCUAACUUUAACAAAUGAAUACUCUCUCUGAAAAGAACUGUUAUCCUGACCAUGUUGCUUUCACGUAAAUAAGCUUGAUUUUUUUUUAGGUACACAUACUCUAUUAAUAAGCAGCAUUUUUAAGCUUAAAAAAUAAUGCAUUUGCUGCAUUAUUAGGAAUCUGAAAAAUACUUUUUGCUCAUUUUCUGUAUUAGAUACUAUGAGUGAACCACAUAGCUAAAAAUUAGUGCCUCUUCCUUCUUUCAAUGAAUUGCAGUUUUUUGCUUUUGUAAAAUUGUAAAUACAGAAAGUUCCUUUUUAAUUUAAGUAAAUUUCACAUAUGAAACAGAAAUAUUCUGUGUAAAGAUUUUCUAAUCCAUCUUUUCUCUAAGCCUAUUUAUAUGAAUAAGAAAGGAAAACUGCAAAUCUACUAACAUUAUGCCAGCAAAAACAGAGGUGAUGAAGGAGCAAUGUGAUCUCUUUAAAGUUUCUUACAUACACAUUUCUGAAACCAAUCCUAGAUAUUUGGGUAUGAUUUAAUUAUGCAUAUUGUAUUGCAAGUCUGAACUUUAACAUCUGAUAAAUAAUAUCAGAAUAUCAUCUAAAACUUUAUCCUAUUAAAAUCAUUAUUACAUGUAGAUUAUAAAAGUUUGGAUAUUAUUUCUCUUUAAGGCAAAAUGAAACCAUAACGUGCCUAUGGGAGACACAGGAAAUACUUUAAGUCUGUUCUUUUUCCAUUUUAAUAGUGCUUUUGAGCUUUGUUACUCAAAAGGGCAGAUCUUACAAUGGCAGAGAACAAGUCAUCAGCCUUAAUGUUUAUGAGAUCUGAUACAACCAUGAAGUACUUGAAAAAAAUCCCCAUCCAAUAGAAGUCAAGUAAACUCGACUUUUCUAAAUACUUAUUAUUGUUAUUUUGACAUUUUAACAUGAUCAAGUAGGUAUACCUCAAUUUUGUUUAAGUACUUAAAAUAAUUUAAUACUUGUUUUCCAAAAACAGAAAUAUAAACAAAUAGUGAACAAUGACAAUGACAGAAAACAAAAUUAUUACCACUUCAAAAAAGAGCAAUUCCUGUUGGCAAUUUUUAUCUAAAGAACAUUAAUAAACUGCAGAAUACUGGAGAGGAAACAGUAACAUUUAUUUGCCCAGCUAGUCAGUUUAUUUUCCUAAAGCUGUAUUUUUGAACUGUUUAUAGUUUUUCUUUUUCCAAUGUGGAGGGUGAAAGGGAAAGGUUGAACAGAACAAAUCGAAACUUUUUUCCUGAAUGCGAUAUUCUUGCUCACUUCAAAAUUGACAGACAUAUCUCUAACUUACAUUUGUUUGGGCUUUUGUAUGUUGAAGUUUAAAUUUAAUUUAAAUUUUAAAAAGUCAAAGCUGUAUAAACGUGUUGUUUAGAGUUUGAAUGGAAAGUAUUCUAGACCCAAAUAGAGUCUGAGAAAAUGUAUAAUAUCAGAUACUGCCUAUAACUAUCAUAUGAAUAUGCAAUAUAUGCCAUAUUCCUUCACUAAAUACAAUGAGAGUCUGAGAAUUUAAUACAUGCAACAAUGAGCUCUAUUUGUGUGACACUUUACAUGGACACAGGUAGACACACUUCCCCUACAUGAACACAGAACAGUUGUCCUUCUGUCACAUAACUUCUGUAUAUACUGAAGUUAGCAAAAUUUCAGAAAUGGUUAUUCAGAACGAUUUCAGUGUCUUUUAGGACCAGAAUAGCCAGUGUUUGCAGGGCAAUGGGCUGCAGGCUCAUUUCUUCCUUCGGUGCUGUGUACAGUCUGUACACUUAGCAUUAAGGCAACACCACAUGGCCAAAGUUCAAAGGACAUGCAGUGGUGGAAUCACAAUAGCUUGGGAAUCUUUGCAGUUAUAGGUUGAUCGUGCUCAUGUAAUCAGGCUUGGAAUCCUCUACCUAAGUCUUCUGAAGUGCUUGAUCAAGUAGCUAUUUCCACAUCAAAUCAUUUAGUGACACCUGGAUCAAUUAAGUAUCUAUCAUUAUUUUCUUUUGCAAUGUGCAUUGAAGAAGACACUGCCCAAAACUCAGUUUUGUAAAGGGUUUUUGGAGGAUGACUAAGAGAAUUUUUCUCACUUUGUAAGAGUACUAUUACACCUGCUUAUGACUAUUUUUAACUUUUAAGACAGAAAAUUGCCUAAUUUCACAUAAGGUCCAGAUUAUUAAAAUGCAAAAAAUUACUUCU
This is a long non-coding RNA of Pseudopipra pipra, 8789 nucleotides long. RefSeq lists it as uncharacterized. The record is from RefSeq and is a predicted model, not a curated record. The transcript is spliced from 2 exons. NCBI's taxonomy places the organism in Eukaryota, Metazoa, Chordata, Aves, Passeriformes, Pipridae.